Molecule: ribosomal RNA, 408 nt
Filed under: uncultured bacterium
Lineage: Bacteria
Description: partial 16S ribosomal RNA
Rfam family: Bacterial small subunit ribosomal RNA
Source: RNAcentral
GACGAACGCUGGCGGCGUGCUUAACACAUGCAAGUCGAACGAAGUGGCGAACGGGUGAGUAACGCGUAAUCAACCUGCCCUUCAGAGGGGGACAACAGUUGGAAACGACUGCUAAUCCCGCAUACUGAAGGAGGGGUUUGUGUCUGAUUGGCUGGUUGGAGGGGGAACGGCCCACCAAGGCGAUGAUCAGUAGGCGGUCUGAGGGGAUGAACGGGCAACAUGGGAAUGGGACACGGCCCAGACUCCUACGGGAGGCAGGAGGGGGGAAUCUUCCGGAAUGGGCGAAAGUCUGACGGAGCAACGCCGCGUGAGUGAUGACGGCCUUCGGGUUGUAAAGCUCUGUUAAUCGGGACGCGGUACCGGAAUAGAAAGCCACGGCUAACUACGUGCCAGCAGCCGCGGUAAUAC